UACAGAGGGGGCAAGCGUUGUUCGGAAUUACUGGGCGUAAAGGGCUCGUAGGCGGCCAACUAAGUCGGACGUGAAAUCCCCAGGCUCAACCUGGGAACUGCGUCCGAUACUGGAUGGCUUGAAUCCGGGAGAGGGAUGCAGAAUUCCAGGUGUAGCGGUGAAAUGCGUAGAUAUCUGGAGGAACACCGGUGGCGAAGGCGGCAUCCUGGACCGGCAUUGACGCUGAGGCGCGAAAGCUAGGGGAGCAAACGGG
This 253-nucleotide ribosomal RNA is filed under the name uncultured bacterium. Its description in RNAcentral is "partial 16S ribosomal RNA". It matches the Rfam family "Bacterial small subunit ribosomal RNA", at positions 524 to 776 of the family's 1533-position model. The record is from RNAcentral.